AGUGAGCUUCGUUUGCAACAGCAUCCUUUUUCUUUUUCCUUUAAAAAGAAAAAGACAGAGUGGAAAGCGGGACAUCGA
Molecule: small RNA, 78 nt
Filed under: Flavobacterium glaciei
Lineage: Bacteria; Pseudomonadati; Bacteroidota; Flavobacteriia; Flavobacteriales; Flavobacteriaceae
Description: Flavo-1 RNA
Rfam family: Flavo-1 RNA
Source: RNAcentral